Molecule: long non-coding RNA, 234 nt
Filed under: Capsicum annuum
Lineage: Eukaryota; Viridiplantae; Streptophyta; Magnoliopsida; Solanales; Solanaceae
Description: long non-coding RNA (CANN_LNC019130)
Source: RNAcentral
CAUGUUCUUCAUUAACAGGGCAUGUUAGCACCCAAGCACAUACGCACAUGUACGUGGCCUCACAAAUAGUAAAAUGUCCCUUUCACAAGCCAAGUAUCGAUCCCACAGGGACUUGUUUUAAAUAACUAUUCAAAUUUAGUUCACACUUCAGAUUCAAUUGAUGCAAGAGUAACCAAGAGAGAACUUUGAAAGUUAUAAAGUAAAGUAAACCGUGCGUAAAGUAAAAGACUUGAG